AUCACUGAAGUUAAGCAACGUUGAGCGUGGAUAGUACUUGGAUGGGUGACCGCUUGGGAACACCACGUAACGUUGGCG
This 78-nucleotide ribosomal RNA is filed under the name Diaphorina citri (Asian citrus psyllid). Lineage: Eukaryota; Metazoa; Arthropoda; Insecta; Hemiptera; Psyllidae. The record is from RNAcentral.